This 2329-nucleotide long non-coding RNA is filed under the name Pan troglodytes (chimpanzee). RNAcentral describes it as "lincRNA". Lineage: Eukaryota; Metazoa; Chordata; Mammalia; Primates; Hominidae. The record is from RNAcentral.
CGUCUUUCUCCAGGAAAACGUGGACCGCUCUCCGCCGACAGGUCUCUUCCACAGACCUAUCUUGUUUUCAUCCCCUGUCUCUUUUGGUUCAGUCUUUUCGCUCAUACAAACAAGGAAGUCGCCCCUAGCCCAGCCGCGGCUCCUUAGCUGGAGGCGGGCCCGGGCGUGGAGUCAACCGCGGUGGCCACGCCUCCUGGGAAAGGGCGGGGCAUGCAAAUUCGAAAUGAAAGCCCGGAAACCCCGGAACUAGAACUGGUAUCUCUUCAACUACCUGUGAAAACUGAUGUGAUGAAAAGGGGAAUUUGAAGGAGCCAUUCCAGAAGACAGGGCGAAAACUGAAGUGCAAUCAGGGCCAAGAAAAACAGAAAUAGCAGGACCUGGAGUUGCAUAGGUUGAAUAGUUGAAUAGGCUGCUCUCCUCAGCUGGCAGGAAACCUGGCAGCCUCCUGGUGCCCAAGGACUGAAAACCUUAGAAGCACCUGGAGUUGGCAGCCUUGGCAUGGUCAGGUUGGCACCUCUGGAGGUGCCCAGGCUUCCCUGGCAGCAUUGUGAGCAGUGGAUGGUGUUGAAGGGCAGCCAGAGGAGGAAUGGAACACAUGCUCCUUGCUAACCACACGGACAAGGCCACGUUCACAGGUACACAAAGGCAACGCAGUUGCUCAGGUGCUUCGGUAUCACAGCCAAGACCCCUUCGGGGGAAGCUAGUCGGAUACUGGGACCCACAUUCCAGACUACUGAGCCGCGGUCGCGCCCUCGGCUCCGUUUCUGCUCCCUCCACCCCACGAGGACGGGGGUGGAAGGCCACCUUCGAUGGGUGCAUCCUCCACGAUGACCUGCUAACAAAGGUGCAUGGAUUUCAGAGUCUGAUUGGCCUACAACAGCAUUUGGCUUGUGGAGACAGUGGUUCCCUGAUGAAAAACUGCCAUGAUAGGAAUAGAAACAAUCAGAGGAAACUUCCAUGAGUUCCCAGGACACAUCCACCCACCUCCUCCACGUGUAACCACCACCUCUACCUUCCCCUCUGGUGCUGUGGAUGAGCCAUCCGUGCUCCUGGCAAAGGCCCACCUGCCACUUGGGCACAGGAACCCAUCCAUCCCUCCUUACCUCUGGAAAACUCCUCCAAACACUUGUCUAUAUUUGUCCCUAUCAUUCUCUCUCUCUCUCCCCCCUCUCUAUUUUUUAUUUUAUUUUAUUUUAUUUUAUUUUAUUUUAUUUUAUUUUAUUUUAUUUAUUUAUUUGAGACGGAGUCUCACUCUGUCACCCAGGCUGGAGUGCAGUGGCAUAAUCUUGGCUCACUGGAACCCCUACCUCUUGCGUUAAAGCAAUUCUCCUGCCUCAACCACCUGAGUAGCUGGGAUUACAGGCGCCCACCACCUCGCUGGGCUAAUUUUUGAAUUUGUAAUUGAGAUGGGGUUUCACCAUGGUAGCCAGGCUGGUCUCAAACUCCUGACCUCAAGCGAUCUGCCCACCUCCGUCUCUCAAAGUGCUGGGAUUAGAGGUGUGAGCCACCACGCCUGGCCUAUUUAUUUUUUUGAGACAGAGUCUCCCUCUGUUGUCCAAGCUAGAGUGCAGUGAUACCAUCUCGGCUCACUGCCACCUCUGCCUCCCAGGUUCAAGCGACUCUCCUGCCUCAGCCUCCCUAGUAGCUGGGAUUACAGCCAUGCACCACCACACCUGGCUAAUUUUUGUAUUUUUAGUAGAGAUGGGGUUUCACCACGUUGGCCAGGGUGGUCUUGAGCUCCUGACCUCAGGUGAUCUGCCCGCUUCAGCCUCUCAAAGUGCUGGGAUUACGGGCAUGAGCUGCUGUGCCCAGCCUCAAUUAUUUUAAUCUUUGAAUAACUUCGGACUUGCAGAAAAGUUAAAAGACUUACAUGGAGAACUUCUCUACCCUCUUCCCCAUCCCCGCAAGGUACACAGUUGGUAAAGCGAGAAGUCUGGGGUUCAGUGACACACUUCUUAACUCCCAAGUUCGUGCUCUUUCUUCUCUCUCUCUCUCUCUCUCUGUUGUCUCUCCCUCCCUCCUUCACUCCCUCUCUCUCCCCUUGAUGGCCACAUUUACUUUAUAAUUUUCUCUCUCACUCUUUCUCUGUCUCACUCUCUCUUACACAACACACACACUCAUAAGAAGACACCUAUAUACAUUUUUUUCCUGAACCAUUGGUAAGUAAUUUGCACACAGGAUGUCCCUUCACCCCCCAGUCCACCAAUACUUCGGUGUGUUUCCUAAGAACAAAGGCCUUCUGGAAGUUUCACAUUAAUUCCAUACUGGAUCUACAGUCCGAGUUCAGAUUUCACCAAUUGUCCCAAUAAAGUCCUUUAGGUUUUUCUGG